GAAACUCGGGCUAAUACCGCAUGAGCCCUUCGGGGGAAAGCAGGGGAUCUUCGGACCUUGCGCUAUUGGAUGAGCCUAUGUCUGAUUAGCUUGUUGGUGGGGUAAUGGCCUACCAAGGCAACGAUCAGUAGCUGGUCUGAGAGGACGAUCAGCCACACUGGGACUGAGACACGGCCCAGACUCCUACGGGAGGCAGCAGUGGGGAAUAUUGGACAAUGGGCGCAAGCCUGAUCCAGCAAUGCCGCGUGUGUGAAGAAGGCCUGCGGGUUGUAAAGCACUUUCAGUGGGGAGGAAAAGCUCAAGAUUAAUACUCUUGAGUCUUGACGUUAUCCACAGAAGAAGCACCGGCUAACUCUGUGCCAGCAGCCGCGGUAAUACAGAGGGUGCAAGCGUUAAUCGGAAUUACUGGGCGUAAAGCGCACGUAGGCGGUUUGUUAAGUCGGAUGUGAAAGCCCCGGGCUCAACCUGGGAACUGCAUUCGAUACUGGCAGGCUUGAGUAUGGUAGAGGGAAGUGGAAUUCCGGGUGUAGCGGUGAAAUGCGUAGAUAU
Molecule: ribosomal RNA, 549 nt
Filed under: uncultured bacterium
Lineage: Bacteria
Description: bacterial SSU rRNA
Rfam family: Bacterial small subunit ribosomal RNA
Source: RNAcentral